UUCACCGACAUUCACUUCUUCAAGAGUUACAUCUCCACGGGCGUAGUGAGCAUUAUCUUGCACUUGAGUAAGUCUCCAUAACAUGCAUUUUCUCUCUUACGCGUUGAAAUCACGAUAAAUUAAAAUGGAGUAUUAGUUUUUAUGGUCCAUGUUAAAAUGUAUAAACAACUUGAGCUUGCUUAUGGAACAUCAAUUUUUCAAACACACCAACAAAUUAUGCCAAUAGAUCAUAUAGUAACACACCAUCAUAAAUAUAGAACUAUAGCUCUGGAGAAUCUUAGGUAUACUAUCAUGUAGCCCAACUCAAUAAUGUAGACUCACAUUUUCUGAGACUGAAAUAAUUUGACAAUAAUUGAACAAAUAAUUGAUCUCUCCACCUGGAUAAUCAUCAAAUUCAAUAUUGGUAACUGAAAUUGGGUUUAAGUAAAUAGCAUAGCUACUAGAACUCUAUAAGUGACGUUGGAAAUGAACUACAAGGUCGUAACUUUAGAAAGUUGAAGCAAAACUACUUUUAAUUUGGAAAUACCUUCGUUGCAGGAUUGGUGAUUGUAAAUGAAGUGAUAUUCCCUAAUGAAGAAAAAAAGAUGCUUCAAUCAUUAAAAAAGGAGUACUAUAGUUUAUUCCUAAUUUCCUAUUAGGUGACUUGCUCACCUUUUCUGUUGGAUAUUUUGCAUUCUUAUGAUCUCCAACAUUUAUUUUUACUUUCUAAUUUUAUUUUUUAGCGUUUUGUCUUUCUACUCCAAGAAAGCUAUUCCACUUCUCCAAAUUUAACGGUGCGCUUCGUUUUGUUCUAUUUUUUAAUUGUGGUGUGAUAUUUUGUUUUCAUGUGUUUUGCGCUCUUCCAUUGUAUUUAAAACUUAAAAGUCAUUUCCCAAUGAUCGUUUAGUUAUAGUAAUCAUUUUAAAGUUUAGAGAAUGUGAUUCAUUACUCUAGGAUUAGGACUUGGGUUAUUGCCUCUAGCCUUUAGGUUUUUUAAGGAUUUGUUACUUUGUGUUAUACGGAGAUUGUUAUUUUUGGUUUCCGGUUUUCGACAGGUGCCCUCACGGUCCACUUGUCUUUGCUCACAUCGAAUUUGUUUGCUGGAACACUUUUCAUCCAUUAAUUGCACCUUCUAUAUCUUGUUAUGGCGAAAAGAAGGUGUGUGCUUUCAAAGAAGGUUACUGAUGAGCUUUCUUUGUAUUUUUUCUUUUUUCGGGGCUCAUUUGUAUCGGUUGCACACUUACCUUUAGAUUAUUUGUUCCAUGUCUUUGCUUUAGAGAAUGGUGCAUGGUAAUUUUAAUUCUUCUAUAAUGCAUGUUGCGAGCUGUGUUCUCACACCUGCCACGUACUUCUCAAUUCUUUGUUGCUUGUAUUUGUUUUGCUGGGAAUUUAUAUUAAAUCUAUGUUCAAAUGUCUUGCACGGCCAUGUGACAACUUCAAAACGUUUACGUUUUAGCUUACCUUGUCCAUCUGCAACUGUUGUGGCUAUGCCAAAUAUUUUUGGCCGUGAGUGUUCACCUGUUGUGACUACUCGGUCGAGAAGCUUAAGAGGUGCAUAAUUAUAUUUGUUGUGUCACUGUCUAGAUUUGCACAAUUCAAUUUAUCAUUAUGUUAUAUUGUUUAGUAAGUGGUGUUCCUAUUAAUUUUUUUUAUUGACUGUGGUUUGUAAUUUUCAAAUAAGAAAUCAAUAAAAAGAAAGAUGUGUGUUGUUGUUGACACAGAUGGCUGUUCCAAUAUUAUAGGUGGGCUGCGUGAUCUGGGUUGCCGUUACAUGAUGCGCUAGCACUUGUUGCGAAAUUUGGACUCCGAGGUAUUUUUCUCACAAUGACUUGUAAUCCAAAGUGAGUGGAGAUUCGAAGUUCGAAGUGAAUCAUUUCCUGUUGAAAAGAGUCAUAAUAGAGUUGAUUAGUAUGUAAGAUUUUUCAAGAGUAAAAAAAGAGUACUUGAAAAGAGUCAUAAUAGAGUUGAUUAGUAUGCAAGAGUUUUCAAGAGUAAAAAAAAGAUAAUGAAUACUUGAAAAAGGAAAUCGUAAAAGACUCGUUGUUAGGGGUGGUUGGUGCUUAUUUUUAUGUGGAGAAUUUACUUCCACAUGUUCAUUGCAGUGGUUGCUGAGAAAAAUAAAGGUGAGUAUAAUAAAGGUGAAUAUUCCACAUGAAACAACGAUGUUAAUAGUUUAAUGAAGUCAUCAACAAUUUAGGAUAGUAUGCAAAUACAUUAUUGUUUGUCAUUAACUAAAUGCCAACACUUGUAUGUACUUUGUACAAUCUAUCUAUGACUUUUGGUAGUAUACACCAUGUCAGUGAUAUUUUAUCAAUGUUUUGAGGUUGUCUUGUA
This is an RNA transcript of Salvia miltiorrhiza (redroot sage), 2313 nucleotides long. RefSeq lists it as uncharacterized. Lineage: Eukaryota; Viridiplantae; Streptophyta; Magnoliopsida; Lamiales; Lamiaceae. The transcript has 3 exons. The record is from RefSeq and is a predicted model, not a curated record.